This 107-nucleotide small nuclear RNA is filed under the name Cervus hanglu yarkandensis (Yarkand deer). The record is from RNAcentral. Lineage: Eukaryota; Metazoa; Chordata; Mammalia; Artiodactyla; Cervidae.
GUGUUCGCUUCGGCAGCACAUAUACUAAAAUUGGAACGAUACAGAGAAGAUUAACAUGGACCCUACACAAGGAUGACACGCAAAUUCAUGAAGCGUUCCAUAUUUUU